This 452-nucleotide long non-coding RNA is filed under the name Marmota monax (woodchuck). The record is from RNAcentral. Lineage: Eukaryota; Metazoa; Chordata; Mammalia; Rodentia; Sciuridae.
CAGGGACCUUGGGAGAGCUAAAGGGGUGUUGGAAGCCCACACAUAAAGGGUACUCCAGAUGACAUGGGAGCAAGCUUGGAAGCAAGCAUUGAAGUGACAGCCGGGCUGCCCUCAAUGGAGUGCAGCACUUCUGCAAUCAACAAAACUCAGACACACAACAUAAAAUUCCCAUGUCCUAGGUCCAGUCAAAAUGAGUAGAAAAGCCAGUAGGCGAGAAAAGUGUAACUUGUCAUGGGAGGGUGACAGUUCAUAGUAACAGACCCAGGUCUGAUGGGAUGACCAACAAGUACAUUAAAAUAAUUUUAACAGCACUCUGUGUGCUCAAGGAAUCAAAGCAAAAACAUGAAGGCUGAGAAGUGGAAGAUAGAAAAAAAGAAGCAAGUUGAGCAAAAUAUCAUUUCCCCUAGGCAGGAGAAUUUUAAAUUACUUAUAUAAAUCCUCACCUCUCAGAG